RNAcentral lists this transfer RNA (74 nucleotides) under Haemonchus placei. It matches the Rfam family "tRNA". Rfam says of the family: Transfer RNA (tRNA) molecules are approximately 80 nucleotides in length. Their secondary structure includes four short double-helical elements and three loops (D, anti-codon, and T loops). The record is from Rfam by way of RNAcentral. Lineage: Eukaryota; Metazoa; Nematoda; Chromadorea; Rhabditida; Trichostrongylidae.
GGGGGAUUGGCUCAGUCGGCUAGAGCACAGGCUUUGCAAGCCUGGGGUCGUGGGUUCGAGCCCCACAUCCUCCA